ACCAACAGGGAUUACCUCAGUAACGGCGAGUGAAGCGGUAACAGCUCAAAUUUGAAAGCUAGCUCCUUUAGGGUUCGCAUUGUAAUUUGUAGAAGAUGCUUCGGGUGUGGCCCCGGUCUAAGUUCCUUGGAACAGGACGUCAUAGAGGGUGAGAAUCCCGUAUGUGACUGGGUGCUUUCGCUCAUGUGAAGCUCUUUCGACGAGUCGAGUUGUUUGGGAAUGCAGCUCAAAAUGGGUGGUAAAUUUCAUCUAAAGCUAAAUAUUGGCCAGAGACCGAUAGCGCACAAGUAGAGUGAUCGAAAGAUGAAAAGCACUUUGGAAAGAGAGUUAAACAGUACGUGAAAUUGUUGAAAGGGAAGCGCUUGCAACCAGACUUGCGCGCUGAUGAUCAUCCGGGCUUCUGCCCGGUGCACUCGUCUGCGCUCAGGCCAGCAUCGGUUUCGGUGGUGGGAUAAAGGCCUUGGGAAUGUAGCUCCUCUCGGGGAGUGUUAUAGCCCUCGGUGCAAUGCCGCCUACCGGGACCGAGGACCGCGCUUCGGCUAGGAUGCUGGCGUAAUGGUUGUAAGCGACCCGUCUUGAAACACGGACCAAGGAGUCUAACAUCUAUGCGAGUGUUUGGGUGUCAAACCCAUACGCGUAAUGAAAGUGAACGGAGGUGAGAACCCUUAAGGGUGCAUCAUCGACCGAUCCUGAUGUCUUCGGAUGGAUUUGAGUAAGAGCAUAGCUGUUGGGACCCGAAAGAUGGUGAACUAUGCGUGAAUAGGGUGAAGCCAGAGGAAACUCUGGUGGAGGCUCGCAGCGGUUCUGACGUGCAAAUCGAUCGUCAAAUUUGCGUAUAGGGCGAAAGACUAAUCG
RNAcentral lists this ribosomal RNA (855 nucleotides) under Cadophora luteo-olivacea. Its description in RNAcentral is "eukaryotic LSU rRNA". It matches the Rfam family "Eukaryotic large subunit ribosomal RNA", at positions 64 to 937 of the family's 3401-position model. The record is from RNAcentral. Lineage: Eukaryota; Fungi; Ascomycota; Leotiomycetes; Helotiales; Ploettnerulaceae.